GUAUAAAUACAUGAAAGGAAUGUAUAGAUAAAUGAAAUGAAGGUAUAAAUACAUGAAAUACUAGUAUAAAACAUGAGAUGGAGUUAUAAAAGCUAGAAAUAUAUAAAAAUAUAAAAGGGUUUGGUUGAUUUCAAUUCGGUUAAUUUCAGUUAAAUGGUAGUACAAAAAUAUAAUCAAUAACCGAUUUUCGGUUAAUUUCAGUUGAGUUUUUACACUUUUACUCAAACAAACACAUCACACCAACACCAACAGUCCAACACCGAUUUCCACCAAGUCAACACACCAAACCACAACUCACCGUUUCACAACAAACUUCCAAUCCUCUACCCUCACCGCUCGUUGCAGGUCCUCCACCCCCACCACCGAGCACGUCAACACCACUCUAUCCAUAACACCACACUCCCCCACCGUAUUCACCACCUUGCGCCACCUACAUCCACCCUUAUCCCCAACCUCACACACAACAACCUCUCCAUCUCUCUCACCAACACACAUAUACACCACAUUUCCCCCCAUAACCACAUCAAUUGACGAUAUUACCUCAUCACACCUCCUCAAAUCCUCAACUAUAUCCACCGGCAUCUCUCCGAUCGCCUUCAAUCCAAACGAUUCACAAUCCACCUCCCACACCUUCACACCGGUAACAUCCUCAGCUUCACCUAACACUCCGAUCACAAUCAAUCUUCCGGUUAAUUUUCCGAUAACCGAAUGAUAAACGUUACGGUCCGGACGCAGAUCGUACGGCCCGGACCACGUGUUUGUACUCGUAUCGAACGAGUACGUCAUGCCGGAGCUUUUCUCCAUAACGAACAGAUUCGGAUCAUCGGAAGCAACCGAAAGCCAGAUCGAUGAAGCGGAGUGGUUGAAACUGAAAAUCCUAGGCAUCGGAUCCGAUUUGAUCCAGGUGUGUGACUGGAGGUCGUAGAUCUCUACAGCGAGUGGAUCAUUUUCGAAAUCGUACGUUAGAGUGAGAUGAUCGGAGUGUGGUGAUGUGAUUGGUUGUUGGAGAUCGGGUAUGGAUCCGGAUCCAUUUGUUGGAGUCCGGGUCGUAGGCGUGGGUGGACGGGUACGGGCACUGGUACUGGUACGAGUGCCGGCUGCUUUGUGUGUGUAGGACUAACCAUGGUUUAGGGUUGGUGGAGGUUCGGAAGGUGGAUGACACGCUAGCGGUCCAGGCUUUUGACACAUGGGAUAAGGGGAUGAGGUGGAUGAGUGGGAUGUGAGAGAGUAUGGCGUCUAUUCCUACUUGA
This 1250-nucleotide long non-coding RNA is filed under the name Helianthus annuus (common sunflower). Its description in RNAcentral is "hypothetical non coding rna". The record is from RNAcentral. Lineage: Eukaryota; Viridiplantae; Streptophyta; Magnoliopsida; Asterales; Asteraceae.